GAUCAUUACAGAGUUCAUGCCCGAAAGGGUAGACCUCCCACCCUUGUGUAUUAUUACUUUGUUGCUUUGGCGAGCUGCCUUCGGGCCUUGUAUGCUCGCCAGAGAAUACCAAAACUCUUUUUAUUAAUGUCGUCUGAGUACUAUAUAAUAGUUAAAACUUUCAACAACGGAUCUCUUGGUUCUGGCAUCGAUGAAGAACGCAGCGAAAUGCGAUAAGUAAUGUGAAUUGCAGAAUUCAGUGAAUCAUCGAAUCUUUGAACGCACAUUGCGCCCCUUGGUAUUCCGGGGGGCAUGCCUGUUCGAGCGUCAUUUCAACCCUCAAGCUUAGCUUGGUAUUGAGUCUAUGUCAGUAAUGGCAGGCUCUAAAAUCAGUGGCGGCGCCGCUGGGUCCUGAACGUAGUAAUAUCUCUCGUUACAGGUUCUCGGUGUGCUUCUGCCAAAACCCAAAUUUUUCUAUGGUUGACCUCGGAUCAGGUAGGGAUACCCGCUGAACUUAAGCAUAUCAAUAAGCC
This 512-nucleotide ribosomal RNA is filed under the name Botrytis cinerea. RNAcentral describes it as "eukaryotic LSU rRNA". The stretch from base 156 to 309 matches the Rfam family "5.8S ribosomal RNA". Lineage: Eukaryota; Fungi; Ascomycota; Leotiomycetes; Helotiales; Sclerotiniaceae. The record is from RNAcentral.